AGAUAUUUGACCCCAAUUGUGAUUAAUUGGGAAUCCGGUGCGUGAGAGAAGGGCUUCGUCUCGUCCGACGCAACAAAUUGAUUCACUUGGUACUCCCUGAAUGCAAAGGAUUGGACAACAAUUUAGGAACAACUCAAGAAGUUUAGCCGUACGAGGAAUAAUUGUUUUGGUUAUACUUGCGUCAGAGGACUCGAAUUGGAGGUAAAAAUACAAUGAUAGCCGUUGGACUUGGCAAGCGCCAGGGUUUCUCGCUCGACGCACUGAACGACAGCCACAUUUUCGGCCGGAGUGAGCAGGGCGCUGUCCGUUACUACCUUUAUUUUCAGCAGUUUGUCAAAAGAAAAUAAAACUUGGGUCUUUUAAAAGGUACCAUCAAGCAUUUCCAUGUUUUUUCUAUUCGUGUCUAAAAUCGAUGAAUACUGAUUUCAUUAUGUACAUGUAACGAAUUACCAGAAAAUUUUGCAGAACGUGGCCCUUUUUUCCAUUCACCAGAGCCUCCCUGUUUUUACAAUUCGAACGCUACACCAGUGGGCCAGAGCUGCAGUCAUCACGCUCAACACUUGGUAUGAUACAUAUAAAUACGGAUCCAUCUCAUGCAUUUUAUACACUAUAGAACAACGUCCAAGGUCAAGAACGCGUUUUGCUCUACAACACGGCCGUUCAAGGGCGGUCUGAUUUUGGCUAGUGUACACAUCGAGCAUAAGCUGGCAACCGGGAGCAGUAGUUUUGUGGACGGAACUAUGGAACGCGCGUGUCGGCCCGGUGGAUUGGCGCAUUGCCCACUUGGCAAAGCUGUUGAUGUUGUCGGCCACAUCGUGUUCGUUCUUGCAUUGCAGCAGCACUUUUUUGUUUAUAAAUAUUCGGCUGGAAGGGGACAAGGGAACGUGGCCCCAGGAAAAACUGGCCUCCAGCAGAAAAAGAAAGCCGAAGAUCGUGUGUUGAUUCUUACUACCGUCAAAAUACGACGGAUGCCUUAUGACCACACACUUACAACGUGAUGUUAUCGUUUGGAUGUUGACAAUGUCUUGAUGAACUUACCUAGCGGGACCUUUGGCGUGCUCAAGCACUUCGAAAACAUAGUCCAACGCCUUUGCCCUAGGAUUGAGCUUGGGUACGUCGUACGCGUCACAAUUCAUUCCACAAGCAACUGUCUGUCCUUGGACGUUUUUAACUGUAAAACUGUUUUCCAUAUCAGAGUUAAUGUUAGUAGGUAAUCAACAUUUGACGGUAAAUUGCACCUUAGAUUGGCUUCCAAAAAAUGCUCCCAGACGUCGUCAAGAAGAGGCUCGUAGUCUUCGUAUUUGACGCCGGUUAGCAAUUCCAGAUCUCCUUUUUGCGAAAAACAUUCGCAUGUGAUGCUAUAGAACGGAAAUGUUAAAAUUUGAUUACAGUCGUAUAGCGUUUCCACAGGCACGAUGAAAAAGUAUACACACCGUUUGACUUCCUCUUUGACGAAUGGGUUUAACAUUUCAAUCUUGUAGUCGUUGACAGGCUGCUGCUGUGGCUGCUUCCCGCAAGUUGGC
Molecule: long non-coding RNA, 1523 nt
Organism: Daphnia magna
Lineage: Eukaryota; Metazoa; Arthropoda; Branchiopoda; Diplostraca; Daphniidae
Exons: 3
Source: RefSeq, a predicted model, not a curated record